RNAcentral lists this ribosomal RNA (2923 nucleotides) under Klebsiella pneumoniae. RNAcentral describes it as "23S ribosomal RNA". It matches the Rfam family "Bacterial large subunit ribosomal RNA". The record is from RNAcentral. Lineage: Bacteria; Pseudomonadati; Pseudomonadota; Gammaproteobacteria; Enterobacterales; Enterobacteriaceae.
GGGUUGUGAGGUUAAGCGACUAAGCGUACACGGUGGAUGCCCUGGCAGUCAGAGGCGAUGAAGGACGUGCUAAUCUGCGAAAAGCGUCGGUAAGGUGAUAUGAACCGUUAUAACCGGCGAUGUCCGAAUGGGGAAACCCAGUGCAAUUCGUUGCACUAUCGUUAACUGAAUACAUAGGUUAACGAGGCGAACCGGGGGAACUGAAACAUCUAAGUACCCCGAGGAAAAGAAAUCAACCGAGAUUCCCCCAGUAGCGGCGAGCGAACGGGGAGCAGCCCAGAGUCUGAAUCAGCUUGUGUGUUAGUGGAACGGUCUGGAAAGUCCGACGGUACAGGGUGAUAGUCCCGUACACCAAAAUGCACAGGCUGUGAACUCGAAGAGUAGGGCGGGACACGUGGUAUCCUGUCUGAAUAUGGGGGGACCAUCCUCCAAGGCUAAAUACUCCUGACUGACCGAUAGUGAACCAGUACCGUGAGGGAAAGGCGAAAAGAACCCCGGCGAGGGGAGUGAAAAAGAACCUGAAACCGUGUACGUACAAGCAGUGGGAGCACCUUCGGGUGUGACUGCGUACCUUUUGUAUAAUGGGUCAGCGACUUAUAUUCUGUAGCAAGGUUAACCGUAUAGGGGAGCCGCAGGGAAACCGAGUCUUAACUGGGCGUUAAGUUGCAGGGUAUAGACCCGAAACCCGGUGAUCUAGCCAUGGGCAGGUUGAAGGUUGGGUAACACUAACUGGAGGACCGAACCGACUAAUGUUGAAAAAUUAGCGGAUGACUUGUGGCUGGGGGUGAAAGGCCAAUCAAACCGGGAGAUAGCUGGUUCUCCCCGAAAGCUAUUUAGGUAGCGCCUCGUGAACUCAUCUUCGGGGGUAGAGCACUGUUUCGGCUAGGGGGUCAUCCCGACUUACCAACCCGAUGCAAACUACGAAUACCGAAGAAUGUUAUCACGGGAGACACACGGCGGGUGCUAACGUCCGUCGUGAAGAGGGAAACAACCCAGACCGCCAGCUAAGGUCCCAAAGUCAUGGUUAAGUGGGAAACGAUGUGGGAAGGCACAGACAGCCAGGAUGUUGGCUUAGAAGCAGCCAUCAUUUAAAGAAAGCGUAAUAGCUCACUGGUCGAGUCGGCCUGCGCGGAAGAUGUAACGGGGCUAAACCAUGCACCGAAGCUGCGGCAGCGACACUAUGUGUUGUUGGGUAGGGGAGCGUUCUGUAAGCCUGCGAAGGUGUGCUGUGAGGCAUGCUGGAGGUAUCAGAAGUGCGAAUGCUGACAUAAGUAACGAUAAAGCGGGUGAAAAGCCCGCUCGCCGGAAGACCAAGGGUUCCUGUCCAACGUUAAUCGGGGCAGGGUGAGUCGACCCCUAAGGCGAGGCCGAAAGGCGUAGUCGAUGGGAAACAGGUUAAUAUUCCUGUACUUGGUGUUACUGCGAAGGGGGGACGGAGAAGGCUAUGUUAGCCGGGCGACGGUUGUCCCGGUUUAAGCAUGUAGGCUGGUUGUCCAGGCAAAUCCGGAUAAUCAAGGCUGAGGUGUGAUGACGAGGCACUACGGUGCUGAAGUAACAAAUGCCCUGCUUCCAGGAAAAGCCUCUAAGCAUCAGGUAACAUUAAAUCGUACCCCAAACCGACACAGGUGGUCAGGUAGAGAAUACCAAGGCGCUUGAGAGAACUCGGGUGAAGGAACUAGGCAAAAUGGUGCCGUAACUUCGGGAGAAGGCACGCUGGUGUGUAGGUGAAGCCCCUGCGGGUGGAGCUGAGACCAGUCGAAGAUACCAGCUGGCUGCAACUGUUUAUUAAAAACACAGCACUGUGCAAACACGAAAGUGGACGUAUACGGUGUGACGCCUGCCCGGUGCCGGAAGGUUAAUUGAUGGGGUUAUCCGUAAGGAGAAGCUCUUGAUCGAAGCCCCGGUAAACGGCGGCCGUAACUAUAACGGUCCUAAGGUAGCGAAAUUCCUUGUCGGGUAAGUUCCGACCUGCACGAAUGGCGUAAUGAUGGCCAGGCUGUCUCCACCCGAGACUCAGUGAAAUUGAACUCGCUGUGAAGAUGCAGUGUACCCGCGGCAAGACGGAAAGACCCCGUGAACCUUUACUAUAGCUUGACACUGAACAUUGAGCCUUGAUGUGUAGGAUAGGUGGGAGGCUUUGAAGCGUGGACGCCAGUCUGCGUGGAGCCAACCUUGAAAUACCACCCUUUAAUGUUUGAUGUUCUAACGUUGGCCCCUUACCGGGGUUGCGGACAGUGUCUGGUGGGUAGUUUGACUGGGGCGGUCUCCUCCCAAAGCGUAACGGAGGAGCACGAAGGUUAGCUAAUCCUGGUCGGACAUCAGGAGGUUAGUGCAAUGGCAUAAGCUAGCUUGACUGCGAGCGUGACGGCGCGAGCAGGUGCGAAAGCAGGUCAUAGUGAUCCGGUGGUUCUGAAUGGAAGGGCCAUCGCUCAACGGAUAAAAGGUACUCCGGGGAUAACAGGCUGAUACCGCCCAAGAGUUCAUAUCGACGGCGGUGUUUGGCACCUCGAUGUCGGCUCAUCACAUCCUGGGGCUGAAGUAGGUCCCAAGGGUAUGGCUGUUCGCCAUUUAAAGUGGUACGCGAGCUGGGUUUAGAACGUCGUGAGACAGUUCGGUCCCUAUCUGCCGUGGGCGCUGGAGAAUUGAGGGGGGCUGCUCCUAGUACGAGAGGACCGGAGUGGACGCAUCACUGGUGUUCGGGUUGUCAUGCCAAUGGCACUGCCCGGUAGCUAAAUGCGGAAGAGAUAAGUGCUGAAAGCAUCUAAGCACGAAACUUGCCCCGAGAUGAGUUCUCCCUGAGACUUUAAGUCUCCUGAAGGAACGUUGAAGACGACGACGUUGAUAGGCCGGGUGUGUAAGCGCAGCGAUGCGUUGAGCUAACCGGUACUAAUGAACCGUGAGGCUUAACCUUACAACGCCGAAG